RNA transcript from Choloepus didactylus (southern two-toed sloth), 4458 nucleotides. It is a transcript of the gene named protein adenylyltransferase SelO-like, with no coding region annotated. The transcript is spliced from 19 exons. NCBI's taxonomy places the organism in Eukaryota, Metazoa, Chordata, Mammalia, Pilosa, Megalonychidae. The record is from RefSeq and is a predicted model, not a curated record.
ACGAGCAGCAGCGCCGCCACCGCCACCAGCGCGAGGCCAUGGUCCGAGUCUGAAAGUCGCGGCGGCGGCGGCGGCUCCGCCUAUGGCCCGGGGUGGGGGGGGGUCCUCCUCCCGGGACCCGGAGCCGGAAGCCGGACACAGGAAGCGCUUCCCCCCGCCCGGCCGCGCCGCCUCUUCCCGCUCCUCCCCGGAGCGCUCUCGGGCCUGGGGUCAGGGGCAGGAGAAGGGGCGCGCCCAGGGGGAGAAGGAGCGGGGUGUCCCCAGGAGGAGUGGGGGCCGUGCGCCCAGGAGAAGAGGGUGCGCCCAGGGGGAGGAAAAAGAGGUGGCGGCUGGCUCCUGCGCUUCUCUCCCUCCCUGGGGCCGGCCAGGGGGGAGUUCUCUCUUCCUAACCUCGUCCUGCCGCUUGCGGCGAUCCAUGAACUAAAAGAGGGACCGCAAGGAUGGACCCCCUGGGGACCGGCUGUUAGCCAGGAGCCCCCCAGCGCGCCAGGCUCCCAGGCUCUCGUGUCCUGCGUGUUUAAGCGGAAACAUGGCCCAGAGAAACCGGUUCCCGUUCGGCGGCCUCCUCCGGAGGCUACAGUUGACUUGUGUGUGUAUCUUGGGUGUGGCCGGUCGCGCCGCGGUCAACUGCCUGCUGCAGCCUGUCCUGGAAGGAAGUGCCGACCUCGGGCGUCUUUACGGGAACGAGUCCACACCCCAUCAGGGCUCUUGUGAAACAGAAGCUAAACUAGCCUCGUCUUUCGAUUUUUGGACUCUUUCCUCUGAAGACCUUAUAGCUGUGUUGCCAGUUGAUCCUGUUAAAGAAAAUUAUGUUCGUAAAGUGAAAAACUGCAUUUUUUCCGUUGUCUUCCCUACUCCUUUCAAAUCAAGAGUACGCCUUGUAGCAGUUUCAAAGGAAGUUCUAGAAGAUAUUUUGGACCUUGAUUUAUCUGUCUCAGAAACAGAUGACUUUAUCCAGCUUGUAAGUGGUGAAAAGAUAGUAUUUGGAUCCGUUCCAUUGGCUCAUAGAUACGGUGGCCACCAGUUUGGAAUAUGGGCAGAUCAGCUUGGGGAUGGAAGAGCUCACCUUCUUGGAAUUCAUAUGAACAGGCGGGGCGAAAAGUGGGAGCUCCAGUUAAAAGGUUCAGGAAAGACCCCCUACUCCCGAAGUGGAGAUGGUAGAGCCGUACUUCGUUCCUCAGUGAGAGAAUUUUUGGGCAGUGAGGCUAUGUACUACCUUGGGAUUCCGACUAGCAGAGCUGCCAGCCUGGUUAUAAGUGAUGAUGAAGUAUGGAGAGAUCAGUUCUACAAUGGAAACAUUGUGAAAGAACGAGGGGCAGUAGUGCUGCGUGUUGCAAAAUCAUGGUUUAGAAUUGGAUCAUUAGAAAUUUUGGCUCAUUAUGGUGAACUGGAUUUACUAAGAACGUUAUUAGACUUCGUCAUACAGGAACAUUUUCCCUCAGUCAAUGCCAAAGGACCUAACAGAUUCGUGGAUUUUUUUUCUACUGUGGUGUCUGAGACUGCACGACUUAUUGCCUUGUGGAUGUCUGUUGGUUUUGCGCAUGGUGUUUGUAAUACUGAUAACUUCAGUUUGUUAUCCAUUACAAUUGACUACGGUCCAUUUGGUUUCAUGGAGGCCUAUAAUCCAGAUUUUGUACCAAAUACAUCUGAUGAUGAAAGAAGGUAUAAAAUAGGAAACCAGGCAAAUAUUGGGAUGUUUAACUUAAGCAAGUUGUUACAAGCUCUAAACCCAUUACUGGAUCAUACACAAAAGCAGCUAGCUGCUCAGAUUCUUGAGGGGUACCCUGUUCUUUAUUACACAAGAUUUAGAGAAUUGUUUAAAGCCAAAUUGGGAUUACUUGGAGAAAAGGAGGGUGAUGAUGAAUUAAUUGCGUUUCUGUUGCAUCUCAUGGAAGAGGCAGAAGCUGAUUUUACAAUGACAUUUUGGCAGCUCAGUGAGAUUACUCAACUCCAGUUGCUAGAGCUCAACAUUCCUCAGCAAUUCUGGGCACUGAAGAGGAUUUCAGAGCACGAACUCUUCCCUGCCUGGGUGUCCGGGUACCUCCUGCGACUGACGGGUAACAUGAAUGACUCAGAUUCUGAAAGAAGAAAAAGAAUGACAACAUGGAUUUAGUUGCCAGUCGCUUCUGCCACUUGGACACAUGUACAGAAUUUAUAGACGAGCCCAGAAUAUGGACAAUCCCAGCAGGAAAGAGAAAGAAGAAGUCGGAAGAAGAAAAUGAGUCAGUGGUCUUUAAUACUUGGCUUUCUUUGGUUAUGACAGGUCAGAUGACGUUAAAAUGAAAGAAAUUUAGGGAGCUCAAGGCUGAGCUUUGCUUCAUAAUGAUGGUUAUGACAAUGAUUUUUUUUUAAACUAAAUCUAAAAAGUUGUGUGAUCAGCACCACAAUCCAAUUUUAGAUCAUUUCUAUCCUAUUAUCCUCUCUUAACUUAUGUUUCCUCAUCUAUGAAAUGUAUUUACGUCAUGGUUUGUUCCAUACAAAUUCAAUGAGAUAGUGGCUGGCAAAUAAUAGGUACUCAGUAAAUAUUUGCUAUUUUAUUUUAGUGGAGAUUAAAUAUACUUGUUGCAGGGAAGUUAGAGGCACUGGGAUUGCCGCUAUGUAUCAUCUAAAAAACAGAUUAAAAAUCAAUAGUAUAUUAAGGGAAGAUGUGCUAUUGAAAUUUUUAGAAAUGUUCCAAGAUGCAAAUAAUGGGAGCGUUAAGGUAAGUGUUUUAAAGGUUCUUUUAGAAAUAUAUUUGUAAAAAAACACUCAAUAUCCAUUUUCUUAGGCCUCCAUUUAACUCUGAGAUCGUAAACUAGCAAAGGACAUUGUUAAUUUCUCUUUCAGGCUGCACAGUGCCCAGCCCAGGAUCACGUUAAACUGUGUUUAAUGAAUGCUUUUGAUUACUGUGAUGCCCAGGAAAACCGUGGUGGUUUCAAAUUUAAAGAUGCUGAUGUUUCUCAUGGUGUUUAUCACUGUGGCCAUAAAGAUGACAGAGGAAAUGGGCCUUUCUGCAGUUUUUAAUGGAAAGAAUAAGAUCAUUAGGAUUCCAAGAGGAAAGAGUUGUGAUGUCCCCAAAUGAAAUAUUUCUAUUUAUUUAAAGCAUGUUAUCUUAGUAGAUCCAGCAUUAUAUGAAGGGCUUUAGGUUACCAGGGAGGAAAAACAAAAAACCCAAUAAACAAAAGCCCUAGAAUAUCUGCAUCUGCAAUGCAAUUAGGUUGGCUGUAAUUCUAAAAAAUUGUCAGCAUAGUUCUCCUGCUUUUCCUGGUGCCUGCUGUGGGCCUAGUAGAGAAUUUGUGGCAGACGAUCAAAGACAUUUUCCACGUGAUGCUUCAAGUUACUUGGUCGCUGUGGCCAGCUGAUUGAAACACAGCUGUUGAGAGGUCAGUGCCAACCAAGCUGAGAUCGUGGGUUGGAGCCUGGCUGCUGAACCGACCCCGAGCCUAGCCCCAGACCUCCAGCCUGCCACCUUGCAAAUGGUACACGCUGGUCAUGAGGCAGGCAUUUCCUCCGUGUGCCGAGGACAGACACUCAACAGAAAUUAGGUCACGGUUUUAUAUUCUCCACCAUACCUCGGCAGAUCUUUAAAACCAGGUUAAAAUGGAAUGUUUGCGUUCCAUCUCUUCAAGUAACUCGGAAGCUGCUGGUGAGAAUCAUGAAACUGAGGGGUUUCUGUCAUCCCCUCAGACCUGCUGUUUUUCCAGUGGGGAGAGAGUACCCCCUGCUCCCCACCCUCUCAGCUGAUAAAUUGGUUUGGAAGAGGCUCAUCUAAAAUAAAGAUAUACUUUCUGGAAUUCUUCUAAAAAGUAUGCAUACUUUUGAAUAUGAAAAAUUGUGCACAACUGUCAAAACUACAGAUUUAUAAAGGAUUUUGCUUGCACAUGACCUUUUCUGUUUGGCCCGAGGCGGCAUUUCCUUUAAACACUCCUACUGGGUCAGACCUUUUCUCCCUGCUUGACGAUGGUAAAAGUGAGUCUAUUUUUCCCUCUCUGCUCAGGCUACAGCCCUAAUUCAGAUGAAUUAACUGCUUUCACCAUGCCUUAAAAAAUGCUCUGUGAACUGAAAAUGGAGAAGAUAAUAAAUUAAUGAUGAAACACUGAAAAGCAAAGCAUGAUAUUGACAUAAAAAAAAGUUUGUUUUGUACCACAAGAUAUAAAUGCUGUAUGUUGCUUAAAAAUGAUCAAAAUGGACUGAUACUGACAAUUGCUUCUCUUUUGAACCUUCCAGAAAAAUUCUUAAAGGUCAUCUGGUUUCAGUGGUGAGGAAAUAUGGCCUGUUUCGAUUUAGUAAUUUACUAUACCAAAAUGUACUUUUUCACCCUUGUUUAAGCUGUUAAUCCUAGAUAUGUGCUCAAGAACUGGAUGGCCGAAUCUGCUGUGCGAAAGGCACAAAUGAAUGAUUUUUCAGAGGUCCGUCUUCUCCAGCAGGUUCUUCGGGGUCCUUUCCAGAAGCAUUCCGCAGCCGAGAAGGCAGGCUACG